Molecule: ribosomal RNA, 459 nt
Filed under: uncultured bacterium
Lineage: Bacteria
Description: partial 16S ribosomal RNA
Rfam family: Bacterial small subunit ribosomal RNA
Source: RNAcentral
CCUACGGGAGGCAGCAGUGAGGAAUAUUGGUCAAUGGGCGGAAGCCUGAACCAGCCAAGUAGCGUGCGGGAUGAAGGCCCUACGGGUCGUAAACCGCUUUUGCACGGGGAUAACACCCUCCACUUGUGGAGGUCUGCAGGUACCGUGCGACUAAGGGCCGGCUAAUUCCGUGCCAGCAGCCGCGGUAAUACGGAAGGCCCGAGCGUUAUCCGGAUUCAUUGGGCUUAAAGGGAGCGUAGGCGGGCGUUCAAGUCAGCUGUAAAAUCGCGCGGCUCAACCGCGCCCCGCAGUUGAAACUGGACGCAUUGAGUUCACAACAGGCAGGCGGAAUUCGAGGUGUAGCGGUGAAAUGCAUAGAUAUCACGAGGAACCCCGAUUGCGAAGGCAGCCUGCCGGGGUGCGACUGACGCUGAGGCUCGAAGGUGCGGGUAUCAAACAGGAUUAGAUACCCUAGUAGUC